UUCCAAUUCUUGGAUGUAGGAUUUCCCUCCCUUUGUAGAAACCUGUUGAAUGGAUACAUUUGGUCUAGGAAGUCCUAAUUGUUUUGUUGUCAAUUUAUCUUCAUUAGUACGCCGACUAAAAAGGAGUUUCUGUCAAAAGAGCGAAUCGAGUUAUUGCACUGGACAGGGCAGCCAUCUUGACAGAAUAUGCCUCCGUCGAAGCUGUAUGACGUUCGUAUAGGCUUUUACGUCCACUACUUAUGACAAGACCAGGAGGGGCGAGCCCUCCCGGAAGCCAUAGAGAAUGCAUUGAGAGCUCUGUUUUGUGAAAAAAAUGGAUUUAACAUGGGAGUCAAUGGGAGAGGUCUUGGGCGAUUUUCAUUUCGCCCCAAAUCGCCCCAGAAGGGGUGGGGCCAUUUGAAGCACGACUUUAGGCUGACUGAACGACUGUUACCUGAUUCGACAAUGACAUACAGAGGCAGAUCAGACGGUCUAGUGGUAGAAUCCGACAGAAAAAAAAUUAUUACAUUUCAAUUUACGUGUCAUUUACGCGACUUAGAAGGAUAUUGCGUUUAUACAUAAGGAGUUUUUUUUUUUUUUUUUCUUUUCCCCUAGGCAGUGCGUCGCCCCAAUCGUCCUUAUGGACGAGCCGCCCCUGACUUGAAGGUAUCAUGAAGGCCAAAUCACACAAGCCACUUGCUAUCACUUAGCUCCACGACAGGUUUUGCCUUAAUCUCAAUCAAGUGUUUUACCUCCUCCCUCAGUUUGUAAAACCGUGUGAGCGUGUCUGUGUGACCAUUGCACCUCACAAUGGUAAACCGGAUCUGUUGUUUCAUCGUAGAACAUAGAGAAUAUGACUGCCCUCAACACUACACACUGGUCCUUUAACCUUUGUGCAUGCAGUGUGUAUGUGUGUGUCUAUGUGCAGGGACGUGCACAGGAGGGGGCUAAGGUUGCUCGGGCAACUGCGCGUUUGCCCUCCUCGACUGAAAAUAUAUGUAUAUUUUUUAAAUAGUAUUACGGCUGCAGAAUUUCAUGUAGGCCUAGAUAAAAUAAUCGCGGAAUAAGCGUCCAGGAGACGGGGGCGUGGCGGUGGCGGUUAGUGAGAGUUAUAAGUGAUAUAGGCAAAAUAUACGUCCAGGGGACGGGGGCG
Molecule: long non-coding RNA, 1132 nt
Organism: Clupea harengus (Atlantic herring)
Lineage: Eukaryota; Metazoa; Chordata; Actinopteri; Clupeiformes; Clupeidae
Source: Ensembl